GUGCCAGCCGCCGCGGUAAUACCGGCAGCACAAGUGAUGGCCAAUCUUAUUGGGCCUAAAGCGUCCGUAGCUGGCCGAGCAGGUCCGUCGGGAAAUCCACGUGCUCAACGCGUGGGCGUCCGGCGGAAACCACUCGGCUUGGGGCCGGAGGACUCGAGGGGUACGUCCGGGGUAGGAGUGAAAUCCUGUAAUCCUGGACGGACCGCCGGUGGCGAAAGCACUUCGAGAAAACGGAUCCGACAGUGAGGGACGAAAGCCAGGGUCUCCAACCGGAUUAGAAACCCCAGUAGUCC
This 293-nucleotide ribosomal RNA is filed under the name uncultured bacterium. RNAcentral's name for it is "partial 16S ribosomal RNA". It matches the Rfam family "Archaeal small subunit ribosomal RNA", at positions 455 to 747 of the family's 1478-position model. The record is from RNAcentral.